RNAcentral lists this ribosomal RNA (433 nucleotides) under uncultured bacterium. Its description in RNAcentral is "partial 16S ribosomal RNA". It matches the Rfam family "Bacterial small subunit ribosomal RNA", at positions 29 to 507 of the family's 1533-position model. The record is from RNAcentral.
AACGAACGCUGGCGGCAGGCUUAACACAUGCAAGUCGAGCGAGACCUUCGGGUCUAGCGGCGGACGGGUGAGUAACGCGUGGGAACGUGCCCUUCUCUACGGAAUAGCCCCGGGAAACUGGGAGUAAUACCGUAUACGCCCUUUGGGGGAAAGAUUUAUCGGAGAAGGAUCGGCCCGCGUUGGAUUAGGUAGUUGGUGGGGUAAUGGCCCACCAAGCCGACGAUCCAUAGCUGGUUUGAGAGGAUGAUCAGCCACACUGGGACUGAGACACGGCCCAGACUCCUACGGGAGGCAGCAGUGGGGAAUCUUAGACAAUGGGGGCAACCCUGAUCUAGCCAUGCCGCGUGAGUGAUGAAGGCCUUAGGGUUGUAAAGCUCUUUCAGCUGGGAAGAUAAUGACGGUACCAGCAGAAGAAGCCCCGGCUAACUACGUG